CGGGUCGGGGUCUGCAGGCGAC
This 22-nucleotide microRNA is filed under the name Hyalella azteca. Its description in RNAcentral is "miR-3621". The record is from RNAcentral. Lineage: Eukaryota; Metazoa; Arthropoda; Malacostraca; Amphipoda; Hyalellidae.